This is an RNA transcript of Molossus molossus (Pallas's mastiff bat), 1866 nucleotides long. It is a transcript of the gene named damage specific DNA binding protein 2, with no coding region annotated. The transcript is spliced from 13 exons. Lineage: Eukaryota; Metazoa; Chordata; Mammalia; Chiroptera; Molossidae. The record is from RefSeq and is a predicted model, not a curated record.
CUGUUUGGCGGGAAGUCGGCUUGUUUGGCGGGAAGUUGGACCAGUUCCCUAGUCCCCGCCCUUUUCUCCCCAGAGGCUUCUCUCUUACCUCCAUAAUCUCGGCAUACGGUAUAGUAUCCCUUUGUACAGGGGACGCGAUGGCUCCCAGGAAACGCCCAGAAACCCGGAAGACCCCCGAGAUGGUUUUGCGCUCCAGGAGCAGGAGGAGCAGGAGCCCAGGGGAGCUGGAGCCCGAGGCCAAGAAGCUCUGUGUGAAGGGCCCCGGUUCUAGCAGAAGAUUUGAUUCAAACUGCCUUUGGGAGGGGUUGGCUAGCCAGCAGGUCCCACCACGAUGCAGGAGCAUCGUCAGGGCCCUCCAUCACCAUAAGCUGGGUAGAACUGCCUGGCCAUCACUACAGCAGGCUCUCCAGCAGUCCUUUUUGCACUCUCUGGCUUCUUACCGGAUAUUCCAAAAGGCUGCCCCCUUUGACAGGAGGGCCACAUCCUUGGCAUGGCACCCAACUCACCCCAGCACCCUGGCUGUGGGUUCCAAAGGGGGAGAUAUCAUGCUCUGGAACUUGGGCAUAAAGGACAAACCUACCUUCAUUAAAGGGAUUGGAGCUGGAGGGAGCAUCACUGGGCUGAAGUUUAACCCUCUCAAUGCCAACCAGUUUUUUACCUCCUCAAUGGAGGGAACAACUAGGCUGCAAGACUUUAAAGGCAACACUCUCCAAGUUUAUACCAACUAUGGCACCUGCAAUUUCUGGUUCUGCAGCCUGGAUGUAUCUGCUGAAAGCCGAGUGGUGGUCACAGGAGACAAUGUGGGGCACGUGGUCCUGCUGAAUAUGGACGGCAAGGAGAUUUGGAAUCUGAGAAUGCACAAAAAGAAAGUGACCCAUGUGGCCCUGAACCCAUGCUGUGAUUGGUUCCUAGCUACAGCCUCUGUAGAUCAAACAGUGAAAAUCUGGGAUCUGCGCCAGGUCAAAGGGAAAUCCAGCUUCCUCUACUCGCUGCCACACAGGCAUCCUGUCAACGCAGCUCAUUUCAGUCCCGAUGGAGCCCAGCUCCUGACCACAGACCAGAAGAGUGAGAUCCGUGUUUACUCUGCCUCCCAGUGGGACUGCCCCCCAAGCCUGAUCCCACACCCUCACCGCCACUUCCAGCACCUGACACCCAUCAAGGCAUCCUGGCACCCUCGGUACAACCUCAUUGUUGUGGGCAGAUACCCAGAUCCUAAUUUCAAAAGUUGUACCCCCUAUGAAUUAAGGACAAUCGAUAUGUUUGAUGGAAGCUCAGGGAAGUUGAUGCAUCAGCUCUAUGACCCAGAAUCUUCUGGUAUCAUUUCGCUCAAUGAAUUCAAUCCUAUGGGAGACACACUGGCCUCUGUGAUGGGUUAUCACAUUCUCAUUUGGAGCCAGGAGGAAGCUGGGAAGCGGAAAUGAGAGACAUUAAUGAAGGUGUAGGCCAAGGGCUUGGAGCCACGUGACAAGUCUGCGAGAAGAGGCGGCUAUGUGUUAAAGGGCCCAAGGUCCUAAGGGAGCAUGGAGGAGACAAAUCCUAUUUGGAGACAGCCAAUAUCCAACAGUACUUGGCCAGGAUCCUUGAAGGCAGAAACUAUCUCCACUCACACCCCGUUCUAUAAACUGGCUUAGAGACCAGGGAGAGGAAAUAAAGAACAGAGAUAACUGCCUGUAGAGAAAGGAAAAAGCUGCAGGAUGGAGCUGGCCCUCAAGGGAACAACAACAUCUAGAGACUCUUGAGACUGCUGAGACUGGUAACGAAGCGCAGAGUCCGGGCCUUGAUGGAUGGCAUCACGAUCAGGUUCACGCCAAGAAGGAGGUGGAGAAGAGCCGCCCAGCUCCAGCCACAAUGUCCGCCCGCCAUCAC